This 253-nucleotide ribosomal RNA is filed under the name uncultured bacterium. RNAcentral describes it as "partial 16S ribosomal RNA". It matches the Rfam family "Bacterial small subunit ribosomal RNA", at positions 524 to 776 of the family's 1533-position model. The record is from RNAcentral.
CACAUGGGACGCAAGCGUUAUCCGGAAUCACUGGGCGUAAAGCGCCUGUAGGUGGUGAUGCAAGUCACUGGUGCAAAACUCUGGCUCAACCGGAGGAAAGCCAGUGAAACUGCAUGACUAGAGUGUGGGAGAGGUAGAAGGAAUUCCCUGAGUAGCGGUGAAAUGCGUAGAUACAGGGAAGAACACCGGAGGCGAAAGCGUUCUACUGGAACACAACUGACACUGAGAGACGAAAGCUAGGGGAGCGAAUGGG